Molecule: ribosomal RNA, 301 nt
Filed under: uncultured bacterium
Lineage: Bacteria
Description: partial 16S ribosomal RNA
Rfam family: Bacterial small subunit ribosomal RNA
Source: RNAcentral
CAGCAGCCGCGGGAAUACGUAGGGUGCGAGCGUUAAUCGGAAUUACUGGGCGUAAAGCAUGCGCAGGCGGUUAUGUAAGACAGGCGUGAAAUCCCCGGGCUCAACCUGGGAAUGGCGCUUGUGACUGCAAAGCUAGAGUGCGGCAGAGGGGGAUGGAAUUCCGCGUGUAGCAGUGAAAUGCGUAGAUAUGCGGAGGAACACCGAUGGCGAAGGCAAUCCCCUGGGCCUGCACUGACGCUCAUGCACGAAAGCGUGGGGGGCGAUCAGGAUUAGAUACCCGAGUAGUCCCUGUCUCUUUACC